GGGGUUGUGGCUCAGCGGUAGAGCAUUCGCCUAGCAUGUGCAAGGCCCUGGGUUCGAUCCUCAGCACCA
This 69-nucleotide transfer RNA is filed under the name Ictidomys tridecemlineatus (thirteen-lined ground squirrel). RNAcentral describes it as "Spermophilus tridecemlineatus (thirteen-lined ground squirrel) tRNA". It matches the Rfam family "tRNA". Rfam says of the family: Transfer RNA (tRNA) molecules are approximately 80 nucleotides in length. Their secondary structure includes four short double-helical elements and three loops (D, anti-codon, and T loops). The record is from Rfam by way of RNAcentral. Lineage: Eukaryota; Metazoa; Chordata; Mammalia; Rodentia; Sciuridae.